RNAcentral lists this small nucleolar RNA (103 nucleotides) under Erysiphe necator (grape powdery mildew). RNAcentral describes it as "A. fumigatus snoRNA Afu_514". It matches the Rfam family "A. fumigatus snoRNA Afu_514". Lineage: Eukaryota; Fungi; Ascomycota; Leotiomycetes; Helotiales; Erysiphaceae. The record is from Rfam by way of RNAcentral.
CUAGAAGAUGAAAUAAUUUGCGAUUAACCUAGAUUGGUGGACUCCCUCGCCUGGGUAUCUAUAUCAUUCUAGUGGAUGACAUUCAAUCUUACAUAUUCUGAUA